RNAcentral lists this long non-coding RNA (573 nucleotides) under Oryza brachyantha (malo sina). RNAcentral describes it as "long non-coding RNA (OBRA_LNC001066)". The record is from RNAcentral. Lineage: Eukaryota; Viridiplantae; Streptophyta; Magnoliopsida; Poales; Poaceae.
CUUGGAAAAUGGUUGGAAUGUUUUGUUGGUAAACUUGGGUAAAGUUCGGUGAAUGGAGAAGAGAUGAUGGUAAGUGGUGAUGAUCUACCUUGAGGGGUAGAUAUGUGUUAUUUAUUCAUUUACAUUACUAGUUUUACUUACUCUAUAUUAUUGUUAUAAAAUUUCGUAGCGAAAUGUGUUGUGAACUAAAAUGGGCAUUUAUGCAAAUUAAUCUAUACACAGCUUAUCCUUGAAUAUGGCCAACAUGUAGUAUGCUAGGGUUGUUCCUAACUUGCUAGUACAUUAAUUUGAUUAAUGUACUGAUUUCUUGCCUUCUUUUACUUGUUUUUGGCUCAGACCCUGCUGCAAGUAAUGACUGUUUGGAUGAAGAGUUUGAUGUAGCUUGUGAUGUUGCAGAUUUCUAGGACGGUUCUAACUAGGGAUUUGCCCUAGCCGAUUUUCCUAUGGGCUUUUGGGCAGCAUGCUUACCGCAUGAACCAAUAUGUAUGGCUUGUCGCCAAGUACUACUUAGAACAUUAUUAAGACUAUUUAUGCUUUAUGCUUAGAACCACUUAUUAUUCGGAUAUCGUGCUU